GGAUGUGAGGGCAAUCUGGCUGUGACACCUGUCACCCCAUUGAUCACCAGGGGUUGAUUCUGCUGAUCUGGCUGGCUAGGCGGGAGUCCCCUUCCUCCCCUCACCACUCCAUGUGCGUCCCUCCCGAAGCUGCCCUCUCGGUUGAAGAGGACGGCCUUCCUCGAAUAGAGACGGACGGGUCUUCGAUCUAGGGUAUAUGAGUAGUUGUGCUCCCCUGCUAGAACCUCCAAACAAGCUCUCAAGGGGUUUCUAGAAGACUGUCUCAUUUGAAAAGGCAAGGGUAUUUGUCCCUUCCCAU
Molecule: small nuclear RNA, 298 nt
Filed under: Erinaceus europaeus (western European hedgehog)
Lineage: Eukaryota; Metazoa; Chordata; Mammalia; Eulipotyphla; Erinaceidae
Description: 7SK RNA (ENSEEUG00000017581.1)
Rfam family: 7SK RNA
About the family: 7SK was discovered as an abundant small nuclear RNA in the mid-70s but a possible function has only recently been suggested. Two independent studies have found that 7SK RNA binds the CDK9/cyclin T complex (known as elongation factor P-TEFb).
Source: RNAcentral